AUUGAACGCUGGCGGCAGGCUUAACACAUGCAAGUCGAGCGGGGGAAGGUAGCUUGCUACUGGACCUAGCGGCGGAUGGGUGAGUAAUGCUUAGGAAUCUGCCUAUUAGUGGGGGACAACAUCUCGAAAGGGAUGCUAAAACCGCAUACGUCCUACGGGAGAAAGCAGGGGAUCUUCGGACCUUGCGCUAAUAGAUGAGCCUAAGUCGGAUUAGCUAGUUGGUGGGGUAAAGGCCUACCAAGGCGACGAUCUGUAGCGGGUCUGAGAGGAUGCGCCGCAACACUGGGACUGAGACACGGCCCAGACUCCUACGGGAGGCAGCAGUGGGGAAUAUUGGACAAUGGGGGGAACCCUGAUCCAGCCAUGCCGCGUGUGUGAAGAAGGCCUUAUGGUUGUAAAGCACUUUAAGCGGGGAGGAGGCUACUUUAGUUAAUACCUAGAGAUAGUGGACGUUACUCGCAGAAUAAGCACCGGCUAACUCUGUGCCAGCAGCCGCGGUAA
Molecule: ribosomal RNA, 501 nt
Filed under: uncultured bacterium
Lineage: Bacteria
Description: partial 16S ribosomal RNA
Rfam family: Bacterial small subunit ribosomal RNA
Source: RNAcentral